This 775-nucleotide ribosomal RNA is filed under the name uncultured Neocallimastigales. RNAcentral's name for it is "partial large subunit ribosomal RNA". It matches the Rfam family "Eukaryotic large subunit ribosomal RNA", at positions 18 to 644 of the family's 3401-position model. The record is from RNAcentral. Lineage: Eukaryota; Fungi; Neocallimastigomycota; Neocallimastigomycetes; Neocallimastigales.
UCAGACGAUGCGUCAUGCAUAUCAAUAAGCGGAGGAAAAGAAACUAACAAGGAUUCCCCUAGUAACGGCGAGUGAAGCGGGAAGAGCUCAAAUUUGAAAUCUUAAAGGGUUUCCCUUUACGAAUUGUAGUUUAAAGAAGUGUUUUCUGUUGAGGUUUUGGUAAAAGUUCUUUGGAAUAGGACAUCAUAGAGGGUGAGAAUCCCGUAUUUGACCUUUACUUUCAACUUUGUGAUACACUUUUAAAGAGUCGGAUUGUUUGGGAAUGCAGUCCAAAAUGGGUGGUAAAUUUCAUCUAAAGCUAAAUAUUGGCGAGAGACCGAUAGCGAACAAGUACCGUGAGGGAAAGAUGAAAAGAACUUUGAAAAGAGAGUUAAACAGUACGUGAAAUUGUCAAAAGGGAAGCGUUUGACACCAGUGUUGUUUUUCUGAAAAUCAAUUAAAGAACUGUUUAUGCUAAGCUGUUUAGACUUUAUCAGCUAAUCUGUUUAGUUUUGAGCUUUUCUUUAAUGCACUUUUCAGUUAACAAGUCAACAUCAAUUUCUUUUGCUGUAAAAAAGCUUGAGGAAGGUGGCUUGAGAUUCGUCUUAAGUGUUUAUAGCCUCUUGCCUAUGCAGUCGGAGAGAUUGAGGUCUGCAGCGUAGAUCCUUCGGGGCUAAAUGCAUUUGUGCUAAGUUAUAGCAUUUUAUAGACAACUUGUUGACUAUGAUUUGUCUUGUAGCUUACUCGCUUAUGUUAUUUUACCUACGCUUAGGAUGUUGAAUCUGUGCGAGACUAC